GGGGAGGGGCGGCGAGGCGAGGCCUGCGGAGCGGAGGAAGACAAACAUAAAGAUGAAGUGCUUAAUUCAAGGUCACACAAUGUCGGGGAUGGACCUCCAGAUUUCCUUACUGACCUGCAUUAUCUUGUGGAUACCUGAGUGAAUUCCACACCACCCAUUUUAUAGAUGAAACCACUGAGACAUGGAGCAAUUGACUGAGUAGUCACUGCCCCACCCCUGCCUGGAGCCUCACACAUGACUCGCCUCCUCUCAGUGACCACAGGAAAACAAGCUCAGGGCUCCCACUGAUUGUACAUUAUGACCAAGUGUGUUGGGGACUUGAGAUGCGUACAUGAGUGUGAUGUUUCCUGCUGAAAGCACAGGUGAGACGUGGUCUUGUAACACAGUGGUUAAGAAUGUGACUUUGGAGCCAGCCUGCUAGGGGCUGAAUUCUGACUCAGCCAUUUACUAACUGUGUGACCUUAGGUCACAGAAUUUUCCACACUCCUUGACAGAGGUGCUUAACCCUUAUCCAUCAGCAUUCUCAGACAGCACCUCCGGUUAGGGACAGUAUCUGACCGUCCGACAUCCCUGCAGCCCCCAUGUGUCACACAGACUCAGCCUCAGGUAGAUGGUUUCCGUAGAUGGUGGCUUUCUUUGGACCCUUGACAUCAACCAGUUACUAUUUGGGGACCAGAUGUGCAGAGGUAAUGAAUACCAGGGAAUCAGGAAACCACUGGAUCAGUUCUUUGAGCCACAGAACAAC
RNAcentral lists this long non-coding RNA (745 nucleotides) under Homo sapiens (human). RNAcentral describes it as "PCBP1 antisense RNA 1". The record is from RNAcentral. Lineage: Eukaryota; Metazoa; Chordata; Mammalia; Primates; Hominidae.